Molecule: long non-coding RNA, 1153 nt
Filed under: Androctonus crassicauda
Lineage: Eukaryota; Metazoa; Arthropoda; Arachnida; Scorpiones; Buthidae
Source: RNAcentral
ACCGGGCCCGGCCGUCCAUCCCCGUCCUCCACCAUCCGGCUGACCCCUCCGCGGGGAUGGGCAGCCUGUGGAAGGGCUCGCUUCGCCCCGUCACACAGUAUUCUUCUAGAAUGGAGUGUGGCGUCAUCUGUUAGCAAAAAAAACUUCCAGCCAACGGCCUAUGGUCUUCGAUGUACUAUUCCGUCUGGUGGGAACGGGCCGCGCUAGACGCGUCCUUCGCCUCGAUUAAUUUGUCUUUUAGUUUCCCGUUCGCUAUAUUAUUACGAUCGAAGAACGUUAGCGUAGAUGAGCGACGAGAGAUCAGUGCCUCCGUCUCUUCCGUCCCGGUAACCCAGUCAUUAAUAGUUAGAUUCGAUCUACCCGCUACCCAUCUUACCGCCAGAGAUUUAAUUUCUUUACCACCGAGGAUACGUUAGCCGCCUGGUCCGUUACCGUGGCAGAAACUCCUCCCUCAAAUUCCACCUAUCUAUCGUCCCCGAUGUAUGCGCGGCUACAUUUUCAUCCGUGCCACUUCCUCCGAGUGGCCGGAUAGAUAAUGCGCGGUUAGUACUGUAUAGUUAUCUGGUUUGUUCCAUGUUCGACUAUCCGUGGUCGGAGCCGAGAGGUUGGUAAAGGUGGUCUAGAAGUACCCGAAAGAGAAUAAAAAAAUAGAAACGUAUACCACGAAAUUAAUUUUAAGCUAGGUAACGUUAACCGUAGGAAAAUAGAUAAAGUAAAAUAAAAUUACUGACGUUAGACACCGUGCUCCGACACGGUAACACCUAUCUCGAGUUGGGAACGUUGACAAAUCCUCGAAAACCGGCAUCUUCGACUACACUGAGAAUCUUUGGUUAUAAAUUUGAUUAGACGUGUCUCUACUUGUACUGUUUCGGCUGUAAAUUGGUCGCUCUUUUCCAGUUUCGUUAGAAUUUGUUUCGCCGCAUUUGAGAUGGUCCAGGGGCGGCAUUUUGGUUACGAAUGUGACAAAUUAUUUAUAAAUUAAAUGCUUAAUUAAUCGAAAUUCGUUUGUCGAUUGUUUCUUUGGCUAAAAUUAGCGGGCAAUUUAUAUUUUGUAUUUACUGUUUUUGCCUAAAUCUAAAAAAAUAUUUGUAAUAUUUACUUCCGAAGAAAACAAUGGUAAAGGAGGAGCGUGUUUAAUUAAAUAACAAUAAAG